AGAGAUUAGGAAAUGUUAUUUUCUUUAUGAUGCAUUUUGAUUUACAACAAUUCUUCUAAUUUAUAGAUAGCUAGGGUUCUAUUUAUGGAAAUAUCCUAAAUUGAUAACAUUGAUUUUCCUAAUAUUUCUCGUGAUCAUUAAAAUAUCUCCCUGAUUUGAUUCAAUCUUCUAACACUUCCCCUCAAGAUGAGUAGUGGGGUCACCAAUACUCAACUUGCUGAGAACUUCGGCCAAAAUUCUGCCUGAGACAGCUUUCGUAAGGACACCUGCCAAUUGAUCUUCUGAUCUAACAAAAGGGAGUUCCACAGUCCCUUCUUCAAUUUUUUCUUUGAUAAAUUGCCG
This 342-nucleotide long non-coding RNA is filed under the name Arachis ipaensis. RNAcentral describes it as "long non-coding RNA (AIPA_LNC002043)". The record is from RNAcentral. Lineage: Eukaryota; Viridiplantae; Streptophyta; Magnoliopsida; Fabales; Fabaceae.